GUGGGGAAUAUUGGACAAUGGGCGAAAGCCUGAUCCAGCCAUGCCGCGUGUGUGAAGAAGGUCUUCGGAUUGUAAAGCACUUUAAGUUGGGAGGAAGGGCAGUAAGUUAAUACCUUGCUGUUUUGACGUUACCGACAGAAUAAGCACCGGCUAACUUCGGGCCAGCAGCCGCGGUAAUACGAAGGGUGCAAGCGUUAAUCGGAAUUACUGGGCGUAAAGCGCGCGUAGGUGGUUCAGCAAGUUGGAGGUGAAAUCCACGGGCUCAACCUGGGAACUGCCUCCAAAACUACUGAGCUAGAGUACGGUAGAGGGUAGUGGAAUUUCCUGUGUAGCGGUGAAAUGCGUAGAUAUAGGAAGGAACACCAGUGGCGAAGGCGACUACCUGGACUGAUACUGACACUGAGGUGCGAAAGCGUGGGGAGCAAACAGGAUUAGAAACCCCUGUAGUCC
RNAcentral lists this ribosomal RNA (450 nucleotides) under uncultured bacterium. RNAcentral describes it as "bacterial SSU rRNA". It matches the Rfam family "Bacterial small subunit ribosomal RNA", at positions 354 to 796 of the family's 1533-position model. The record is from RNAcentral.